CCUACGGGAGGCAGCAGUGGGGAAUAUUGGACAAUGGGGGCAACCCUGAUCCAGCCAUUCCGCGUGUGUGAAGAAGGCCCUCGGGUUGUAAAGCACUUUCAGUGAGGAAGAACGCCUGGUGGUUAAUACCCAUCAGGAAAGACAUCACUCACAGAAGAAGCACCGGCUAACUCCGUGCCAGCAGCCGCGGUAAUACGGAGGGUGCGAGCGUUAAUCGGAAUUACUGGGCGUAAAGCGCGCGUAGGUGGCUUGAUAAGCCGGUUGUGAAAGCCCCGGGCUCAACCUGGGAACGGCAUCCGGAACUGUCAAGCUAGAGUGCAGGAGAGGAAGGUAGAAUUCCCGGUGUAGCGGUGAAAUGCGUAGAGAUCGGGAGGAAUACCAGUGGCGAAGGCGGCCUUCUGGACUGACACUGACACUGAGGUGCGAAAGCGUGGGUAGCAAACAGGAUUAGAUACCCUAGUAGUC
This 465-nucleotide ribosomal RNA is filed under the name Vreelandella stevensii. RNAcentral's name for it is "partial 16S ribosomal RNA". It matches the Rfam family "Bacterial small subunit ribosomal RNA", at positions 338 to 795 of the family's 1533-position model. The record is from RNAcentral. Lineage: Bacteria; Pseudomonadati; Pseudomonadota; Gammaproteobacteria; Oceanospirillales; Halomonadaceae.